GGGGAAUCUUAGACAAUGGGGGCAACCCUGAUCUAGCCAUGCCGCGUGAGUGAUGAAGGCCUUAGGGUCGUAAAGCUCUUUCGCCUGUGAUGAUAAUGACAGUAGCAGGUAAAGAAACCCCGGCUAACUCCGUGCCAGCAGCCGCGGUAAUACGGAGGGGGUUAGCGUUGUUCGGAAUUACUGGGCGUAAAGCGCGCGUAGGCGGAUUAGAAAGUUGGGGGUGAAAUCCCGGGGCUCAACCUCGGAACUGCCUCCAAAACUGCUAGUCUAGAGUUCGAGAGAGGUGAGUGGAAUUCCGAGUGUAGAGGUGAAAUUCGUAGAUAUUCGGAGGAACACCAGUGGCGAAGGCGGCUCACUGGCUCGAUACUGACGCUGAGGUGCGAAAGUGUGGGGAGCAAACAGGAUUAGAUACCCUGGUAGUCCACACCGUAAACGAUGAAUGCCAGUCGUCGGGUAGUAUACUAUUCGGUGACACACCUAACGGAUUAAGCAUUCCGCCUGGGGAGUACGGUCGCAAGAUUAAAACUCAAAGGAAUUGACGGGGGCCCGCACAAGCGGUGGAGCAUGUGGUUUAAUUCGAAGC
This 583-nucleotide ribosomal RNA is filed under the name uncultured marine bacterium. Its description in RNAcentral is "bacterial SSU rRNA". It matches the Rfam family "Bacterial small subunit ribosomal RNA", at positions 356 to 957 of the family's 1533-position model. The record is from RNAcentral.